AAUCAUCCGUAGGGUAACCUGCGGAGGGAUCAUACCGAGACAACUCCCAAACCCCUGUGAACAUACCAAUUGGCCUCGGCGGAUCAGCCCGCUCCCGGUAAAAAGGGCCCAAUACGGGAAAGGGCCCACGGCCCGCCAGAGGACCCCUAAACUCUGCUAUAUGUAACUCUGAGUAAAACCAUAAAUAAAUCAAAACCAACAACGGAUCUCGGUUCUGGCAUCGAUGAAGAACGCAGCAAAAUGCGAUAAGUAAUGUGGCCGAAUGCAGAAUCAGUGAAUCAUCGAAUCUGAACGCACAUUGCGCCCGCCAGUAUUCUGGCGGGCAUGCCUGUUCGAGCGUCACAACCCUCAAGCCCCCGGGUUUGGUGUUGGGGAUCGGCGAGCCCUUGCGGCAAGCCGGCCCCGAAAUCUAGUGGCGGUCUCGCUGCAGCUUCCAUUGCGUAGUAGUAAAACCCUCGCAAAGGGCCCUACUGGACGCGGCGCGGCCAAGCCGUUAAACCCCCAACUCUGAAUGUUGACCUCGGAUCAGGUAGGAAUACCCGCUGAACUAAGCAUAUCAAAAGCGGGAGGAAUGGAAGGGGAAAACCCUGCGG
This 593-nucleotide small RNA is filed under the name Fusarium mangiferae. Its description in RNAcentral is "eukaryotic LSU rRNA". The stretch from base 191 to 342 matches the Rfam family "5.8S ribosomal RNA". Lineage: Eukaryota; Fungi; Ascomycota; Sordariomycetes; Hypocreales; Nectriaceae. The record is from RNAcentral.